AGUUAAUACAAUAGCAAUUGUAUCUUUGCUUAAGCUCUUUUUGUGUUUGUUUCAGAUCAAUGGAUAGCUUUGUCAUUAACACUUUGACAGAGUGCCAGACCUUGUCGAAAGAUUUAAAAGCCUCCAUGUAAUAUGUCAAAGUGACUCCAAUAGAUGAAUAGAGCCGGCCACUGGAUUCCUGGAGGAAAGGCUACGGAACGUCAGGAAGCGGCUGAGAUCAACCAGCAGGUCGCAGAGCAAGGCACAGACACCACCACAAACGCCAGAUGAUGGCGCUCUAGCAAGGCCUCUCAUACCAGAAUGUACCAUAUCAGACGAACGUGAGUCACAGCUUAAAGAAUGGUUGAGAAACAAUUCUCAGCCCCUAGAGAUGCGGAACACGGCAGUCUACAGGGCCAAGUGGGUUAGGGACAACAAUUGGACCAUCGAUCAGAUCCUCGAAGAGUUCCUUCACCUAAUGAACAAA
This is a long non-coding RNA of Perca fluviatilis (European perch), 466 nucleotides long. RefSeq lists it as uncharacterized. The record is from RefSeq and is a predicted model, not a curated record. Lineage: Eukaryota; Metazoa; Chordata; Actinopteri; Perciformes; Percidae. The transcript is spliced from 3 exons.